UAUAAAGCAGGGGCCAUUAUCAGUU
This 25-nucleotide non-coding RNA is filed under the name Mus musculus (house mouse). Lineage: Eukaryota; Metazoa; Chordata; Mammalia; Rodentia; Muridae. The record is from RNAcentral.